CAUCAGUAAUGGUUUUGAAUACACCUGUGCUUUUCCUGCUAUGACAUGUCGACAGGUCAACAUGUCUGCUAUGAAAAAGAUCAUUUUGCAGACCUGUAAAGUUGUCGUCGAUUGGCAUCGCCGUACCGCGCCGCGCCGAGAGCAUUUGUGACGGUGAAGGCCGGGCCGGAGCCGGAGUGAGGGGCAGCUGCCAAUGCUGGAACCUGUGUGACAGUUGUAAAUGACUGGCCCGAUCGUCUCCUUGUAGUAAUUAUCUAAAUGGGCUCAUUCAAAACCUCUUCAUUGUGGAAUCAGUUAAUUAAUUAGCUGUUUCACUGACAGGAUAAUGCAUCUAUAACAGCCACCCAUCUACUCACUGGAAACCCCC
This is a long non-coding RNA of Perca flavescens (yellow perch), 367 nucleotides long. RefSeq lists it as uncharacterized. The transcript is spliced from 3 exons. The record is from RefSeq and is a predicted model, not a curated record. Lineage: Eukaryota; Metazoa; Chordata; Actinopteri; Perciformes; Percidae.